Long non-coding RNA from Amblyraja radiata (thorny skate), 1910 nucleotides. RefSeq lists it as uncharacterized. Lineage: Eukaryota; Metazoa; Chordata; Chondrichthyes; Rajiformes; Rajidae. The transcript has 3 exons. The record is from RefSeq and is a predicted model, not a curated record.
AGCUUUUCACUGUGCCUCGAUACACACGACAAUAAUAAAUUAAACCAGAACCAGAUUAAACUCCUUCUCCAAAUUUAAUCCUGUUAGUCUGCACGCAACUCAAGUCAGAAUAUGUUGAAUAACAUGUUGGGGCAAUUGAGCUAAUUCCCAGGACUCCAGCACAGGUUUGGAUCCUGCAGAGCUAAACAGCCACAUGCACCUUAGUCUCCUAUCUCACAUCAACCACAAGUGGUAAAGGUCACGUAAUAAGGUUAUCUAAAUAACCGGUCAAACGUCAUCAUGGUGGUGCAGAUGUAUAGCUGAGGUUCAAUUAUCACUUGGAUAAGAAAUAACAAGGCUUCACACAAGGGCCAUGCCUUUCAGGACAUGAUUAGUAUGGUGUCUUGACACUGAUCCAGUCCUUAAUGAUAGGGUCACCUUUUUCCUCCUGUAUCCAACCAUACACUCAUUAUAGCACCCAAAUAAUUUUUUGUAACAUGUUGCCUCAUGUUUCCUAAAACUUAUCUUUAAACAUUUAUUGUAAAUUUAUAUUGGGAGCAAAUAUGGUUUAUACAUAAUAUCACCAUACAUAUAAUGCUCAAUUGAUCAUUUAAAGGAAAGAUUUAUGCUUAAUUUUGCAGAAAUCUAUUUUUGGUUUUCAUCCAAAAGAUUACCAACGUUUAAAUCCUUGAAUUAUUUGUGUAAUCCUUGUGCAGUAUUGUUUAAUAGUGAAACAGUUUAAUGUCAAUUGCAGAAAAUAGUUGUAUUUAAAAAAAAAAAGUCAGAUCAACAAAUAAUGAGUUGGUCUGUGCAGAAGGAAUAUCACAACUCCUUUUUCAAAUCCCGAUUCCAUCUAACUAUUCUGAAAUUCUUGUGAAAGCAUGAUGAUAAAACACAGUCCUAACCAUCAAAAUAACGGCAACUUCACUUAUUUCUCUGGUAACUUUAAUUUUAAGAAAAGCUGUUGCCAUCACAAUGAAUUUUGAUGCAGAAAUCGUAUUCGCAGGACAAACGCCAAAGACUUGAAUGAACUAUUGUCAUGCCUUGUUCUCAACUUCCAGCCUGUGCACUAUGCAUUCCAAAAACAAUGACAAUUUGCAGCCUUUAUCACGUGCCUCAUUUUCAUACGUUUUACACAUCUUGCUCUUUCAUCUUUAAGCAAUCAUUCAAUAACUCCAAUUUCUGUAUACAAGAUUAUAUAAAUACACGUUUUCUCUUUCCCCAAAAUGUUGCUAAAUCGGUAGUACUUAUAGUGAGUGGUCUUAGUGAUCUAUAGCCUUGAUUUAGCAAUACCAAAACUCCAUUAAAAGGGGUUUGUAAAUCAUCUUGCUGUUAAUCACUUCUGCUUUUAUCUUGCUUCUGCACCUUCCUCCCGUCCACUACCACCAUCCUCUGCAUUCCACUUACUAAAAGUUGCCUUACCACCUCCCCCUGUUCCAGUGGAGUGGUAUUCCUUUUGAUAAGAGGUUCAUGGCCUGCUUAUUAGAAUUUGGGAAUUCUGCAGAGUUGCCAAUUGUUUUAUAACACUCCUGUGACAAGGCUUGGGCCACUUUAUUGCACCAAAGUUGCUGCCUGUUAAGUCGAGCCAACUGUCUAAUGCAAAAGCAGCCAGAGGGUUGCUGCUUGUGUUAACAACGAAAGCAUUGACAGUAGUACCUCAAAAUUACACAUAAGCAUUGGAAUACAAUACAUGGAAACUUGAUGUGCUUUGCGAUGCUCUUCAUAGUUAUAUCUUGUUGUAAAAUUCAAGGAACAUUUUCUGUUUCCUGAUCUGCAAAAGGCGGUUAAUGUUUCUAAUUCGUUUGCAGAUAAUUACUGUUUGUACUUUCAACGCAAAUUAUGCCACUAGGUGGUGCAAGUGACACAGCAUAGUCGAAUGCAUUAUUUUAAAGAAACUAUUUUACUUUAAACUUGUCCACAUGUAUAGUUUG